Molecule: ribosomal RNA, 151 nt
Filed under: Escherichia coli
Lineage: Bacteria; Pseudomonadati; Pseudomonadota; Gammaproteobacteria; Enterobacterales; Enterobacteriaceae
Description: partial 23S ribosomal RNA
Rfam family: Bacterial large subunit ribosomal RNA (bases 1-134)
Source: RNAcentral
CCCCGAGAUGAGUUCUCCCUGACUCCUUGAGAGUCCUGAAGGAACGUUGAAGACGACGACGUUGAUAGGCCGGGUGUGUAAGCGCAGCGAUGCGUUGAGCUAACCGGUACUAAUGAACCGUGAGGCUUAACCUUACAACGCCGAAGCUGUU